GAUGAACGCUGGCGGCGUGCCUAAUACAUGCAAGUCGAGCGAACAGACGAGGAGCUUGCUCCUCUGACGUUAGCGGCGGACGGGUGAGUAACACGUGGAUAACCUACCUAUAAGACUGGAUAACCUUGGGAAAACGGAGCUAAUACCGGGUAAUUUAUUUAACCGCAUGGUUCCAUAGUUAAAGACGGUUUUGCUGUCACCUAUUGAAGGAUCCGCGCCGCAUUAGCUAGUUGGUAAGGUAACGGCUUACCAAGGCAACGAUGCGUAGCCGACCUGAGAGGGUGAUCGGCCACACUGGAACUGAGACACGGUCCAGACUCCUACGGGAGGCAGCAGUAGGGAAUCUUCCGCAAUGGGCGAAAGCCUGACGGAGCAACGCCGCGUGAGUGAUGAAGGUCUUCGGAUCGUAAAACUCUGUUAUUAGGGAAGAACAAAUGUGUAAGUAACUAUGCACGUCUUGACGGUACCUAAUCAGAAAGCCACGGCUAACUACGUG
RNAcentral lists this ribosomal RNA (496 nucleotides) under uncultured bacterium. RNAcentral describes it as "partial 16S ribosomal RNA". It matches the Rfam family "Bacterial small subunit ribosomal RNA", at positions 28 to 507 of the family's 1533-position model. The record is from RNAcentral.